CGUUGGGAGCAGUUUGCAUAUGCUCCGGAAAACCGAAGGAUCUCUGCAAAAACUGCAUCCUUGCAGGUAUCAGCGACCGGCUUCGAGACAUUGGCUACAACAGCGCCCUCUGCAAGUCCAAAUGGAGGAGAUCGAUCGACAUCCUUUCAGUUACGUUGAUGUAGCGGUAGACACCAAAACGGGCCAUGACAGAGUAGUGAUCGAUCCCAGUUUUCAA
RNAcentral lists this unclassified non-coding RNA (217 nucleotides) under Hevea brasiliensis (rubber tree). Lineage: Eukaryota; Viridiplantae; Streptophyta; Magnoliopsida; Malpighiales; Euphorbiaceae. The record is from RNAcentral.